Molecule: transfer RNA, 75 nt
Filed under: Pedobacter cryophilus
Lineage: Bacteria; Pseudomonadati; Bacteroidota; Sphingobacteriia; Sphingobacteriales; Sphingobacteriaceae
Description: Pedobacter sp. AR-3-17 tRNA-Arg
Rfam family: tRNA
About the family: Transfer RNA (tRNA) molecules are approximately 80 nucleotides in length. Their secondary structure includes four short double-helical elements and three loops (D, anti-codon, and T loops). Further hydrogen bonds mediate the characteristic L-shaped molecular structure. tRNAs have two regions of fundamental functional importance: the anti-codon, which is responsible for specific mRNA codon recognition, and the 3' end, to which the tRNAs corresponding amino acid is attached (by aminoacyl-tRNA synthetases). tRNAs cope with the degeneracy of the genetic code in two manners: having more than one tRNA (with a specific anti-codon) for a particular amino acid; and 'wobble' base-pairing, i.e. permitting non-standard base-pairing at the 3rd anti-codon position.
Source: RNAcentral
GCAUCCGUAGUUUAAUGGAUAGAAUGUAAGAUUCCGGUUCUUACGGUACAGGUUCGAUUCCUGUCGGGUGCACUA